AAACCAACAGGGAUUACCUCAGUAACGGCGAGUGAAGCGGUAACAGCUCAAAUUUGAAAUCUGGGUCUUUCAGGCUCCGAGUUGUAAUUUGUAGAAGAUGCUUCGGGUGCGGCUCCGGUCUAAGUUCCUUGGAACAGGACGUCAUAGAGGGUGAGAAUCCCGUAUGUGAUCGGUUGCUUGCGCCCAUGUGAAGCUCUUUCGACGAGUCGAGUUGUUUGGGAAUGCAGCUCAAAAUGGGUGGUAAAUUUCAUCUAAAGCUAAAUAUUGGCCAGAGACCGAUAGCGCACAAGUAGAGUGAUCGAAAGAUGAAAAGCACUUUGGAAAGAGAGUUAAACAGUACGUGAAAUUGUUGAAAGGGAAGCGCUUGCAACCAGACUUGCGCGUCGCUGAUCAUCCGGGGUUCUCCCCGGUGCACUCGGCUUCGCUCAGGCCAGCAUCGGUUUUGGUGGUGGGAUAAAGGCCUUGGGAAUGUAGCUUCUUUCGGGGAGUGUUAUAGCCCUCGGUGCAAUGCCGCCUACUGGGACCGAGGACCGCGCUUCGGCUAGGAUGCUGGCGUAAUGGUUGUAAGCGAC
RNAcentral lists this ribosomal RNA (572 nucleotides) under uncultured fungus. RNAcentral describes it as "eukaryotic LSU rRNA". It matches the Rfam family "Eukaryotic large subunit ribosomal RNA", at positions 62 to 648 of the family's 3401-position model. Lineage: Eukaryota; Fungi. The record is from RNAcentral.